GACAAGAGGUACAAGCCAUAUUGCGUCACAAUGCCACUGUCGCCAACCUGCUGUGCAAAGACGGAGAGGUAGCCGGCCUGCCAUACAUUCCUACAGGCCAUCAAGCCACCCUUGCGCAGCCACUGCUGCCAGACAUGCCGAACAGGUGCUAACAGCAGCCACAGCGCGCAGCAACAGACGAUUUAUCUUGAUCUGUGCGACACCAGUGCAUUGUGUUCUUCUCGGAAAACUGAGGUUUUUGGAAAAAAUAUUGAACCCUCAAAGAGUUAAACUGGACUGCCGAGUACAACUCUAAUAAUCAAAAAUGGCCGUACUGAACGUCUGAGGCCUGGCAUGUUAACACCCCUAAUUUUGACCUCUCUGCUUAUCUGUGUCCCGAGUGACCUGUUGAAAGGAUGCUUUUCAUAGCUCAGUUUCUUACAAGUGAACGUCCUUCAAUUCGUGAGUACUCCGUGGCACGUGACCCGGAAGCAGGCAGACCAGAAGGGACCAGUAGAGACUGCAAGACAUCCCUCCAGGGCCUCACAUCAUGUCAUCCAAAUUCCAAUACUGAAUCAGACAGAUCAAGCCCGGCCUCUCCUGUAGCCUGCAGUCUUCCAGGAUCUGGCUACUCCGUGGCCUGAGAGUACGAAAUAAUGAGAACAAGCUGCUGCUGCCUGAGCCAUGAGUGUGGAAGGAACGUGGGGUCCAGGAUUAUCCCAUACAUCAGUCAGCUAAUCCCAGGAUCGUAGGUCAUAUUGCUUAACAGCUAAAGUAAAGUAAAGACUGUAAAUCACACCAGGGACCCCCUGCAUUACUCUAGAAAGACAGAUACAAUGCCGCCAUAAAGUCCUGGACGCCUGAAACACACGUUGCCAUUUCCACAUUCCAUCCCUUUCUCUGGUCCCACUGUGAUGACGUCAUACCUCCCACACAACACUUCGCUUCCCUUCCAGCAUUCCAUUCAAUUUCCGGUCCCUCAUUAUUUAAGUUCCCCCUGCAACUGAGACUGUGAGAUGUAAUGACUGGUUGUCAGAGCAUUGAGAGUGACAUAAAAGUGUUGGAUAUUUUCUUUUGUUUUGUACAGUAUAUGGGGCCAGAAACCCCAAACGUUUAUCUGUUUUUGUCUCCUUAUUACACAGUUUGAUUUUUUUUGUCUUAGAUGGCACAUUGCUGUUAUUGUCUGCGCUUUGGAUGUCUAAGAUGAUGGGCUGGGACUUCUAGAUGCACUCUUCUUGACUGACCUCAAUCCUCGGGUAUUAAAUUUACACCAGUAUUACAGCUUUGAAGAUUUCCUGUUAAAUUCUUUAUGAAAGUUCUUACAUUUUCACCCUUUAGUAACACCUUUUGCUAGAAAUAAGAAAACAUAAUAAAGCCAAAUUAUACAGUGUGUCUAAAGAGUAUUCAUCACCUUGCAAUUUU
Molecule: long non-coding RNA, 1401 nt
Organism: Polypterus senegalus (gray bichir)
Lineage: Eukaryota; Metazoa; Chordata; Cladistia; Polypteriformes; Polypteridae
Exons: 3
Source: RefSeq, a predicted model, not a curated record